Long non-coding RNA from Oreochromis aureus, 303 nucleotides. RefSeq lists it as uncharacterized. The record is from RefSeq and is a predicted model, not a curated record. Lineage: Eukaryota; Metazoa; Chordata; Actinopteri; Cichliformes; Cichlidae. The transcript is spliced from 3 exons.
AGAAAGCUUCCUUCUACCAGUGACCUGAAAGAACUCUUGCUGGCAGCUGACUCACCUGAGGAUGCCACUGAAGUUAGUGCUGACAUUGGCUGGGACAGUGGGACAGGUGGGACAAUAGCAAUUCUAUUGCUAUUACAUCUGAUUCCACCAUCUGGUCAGGGUCGGAAGAGACCAGGAAAGGUGUCAGCUUCUCAAGCAGAAAGGCAUCUUGUGGUCUUCAAGAAGACUGGAACAAAUAUCCAAGAGCACCUUGAUGCCGUCACUACCAGCACUCAACCCUACCUCCUGGCUGUUGGGGUGAAA